RNAcentral lists this ribosomal RNA (1355 nucleotides) under Panulirus japonicus (Japanese spiny lobster). Its description in RNAcentral is "LSU rRNA". It matches the Rfam family "Bacterial large subunit ribosomal RNA", at positions 161 to 2730 of the family's 2925-position model. The record is from RNAcentral. Lineage: Eukaryota; Metazoa; Arthropoda; Malacostraca; Decapoda; Palinuridae.
AAUGAAAAUAUGUUUAUGUUAAAAUUUGAAAUAAAAAAUGAGUUUCAGAAAAAUAGUUUUAAUUAGAACAGUUAUUAGUAUUUAAGAAAUAACUUUUUUGGACCUAGUGCAAAAGUACCGUGAGGGAAACGUGAAAUAAAAAUGAAAAUUUGAUUGAUUAAAAGAAGAAGUAAAAACUUGUACCUUUUGUAUCAGGGAGGAUCGAAAUAUACUAAUAAUGUUAGAGUUCCCGAAAAAAGAAUAGCUAAGAGCUUAUGUUUAUCCCGGUGGAAAAUUGGUUUAUAAUAAGUCCUUAGUGGUGAAAUGCUAGUCGGGUCUUUUGAUAUCUGGUUGUUUUGGAAAUAAAUUUAAUUUGGCCUAAACUAGUAAAUAAUAAUAGUUUAGUUGAAUGGCCGGAGGGAAAAGCUUCUGGUCAUAAAUCUUGGUAUAAAUAAAAUUUCUUUUAAUAUGCAAUUCUAACUGGGCUUAGAAGUAGCCAUGUUUAUAAAGUGUCUUAACUAAGAUAAAGCUUUAAUAGAAUAUUUUUAUAAUUUUUAUCAAAAAUACGAAACUUUAAGUGAGAAUUUGAAUAACUUAGCAAUAAUGAUCUUAUUAGUAUAAUCAUUUCUGUGUGUUCGAUUAAGCAAAUUUAAAAUAAAAAAUAUUUCUUGUUGAAUAAAAGAGGAUAUAGCAAAGGAACUCGGCAAAAAAGAUUUCUGCCUGUUUAUCAAAAACAUGUCUUUAUGAACUUCAUGUAAAGUCUAGCCUGCCCAGUGACAUUAAAGUUUAACGGCCGCGGUAGCAUGACCGUGCUAAGGUAGCAUAAUCAUUUGUCCUUUAAUUGAGGACUGGUAUGAACGGCUGAACAAGAAAUCAACUGUCUCUGCUAUAAAUUUUGAAAUUGACAUUUAAGUGAAAAGGCUUAAAUGAGAUAGGGGGACGAUAAGACCCUAUAAAUCUUGAUGAUUAAGAUAAUAAAUUUUAGGCAGUAGUAAUAAGUUUAAAUUUAAUGUCUUAAUUAUUUUGUUGGGGCGACAGGAGUAUAAGAAGUAACUGCUUUGAAAAAAUAAUUAAUUAUUUUUAUGAUGUUUUGUUUGUGAUCCUUCUAUGAAGAUAAUAGAUCAAGUUACUUUAGGGAUAACAGCGUAAUCUUUCUUGAGAGUCCAUAUCGAAAGAAGGGGUUGCGACCUCGAUGUUGAAUUAAAGAGCCUUUGUGGUGUAGCAGCUAUUGUAAGGAGGUCUGUUCGACCUUUAAAUCUUUACAUGAUUUGAGUUCAGACCGGCGUAAGCCAGGUCGGUUUCUAUCUCCUAUAAUAGAGAUAACUUUCUUAGUACGAAAGGAUCAGAAAGUUGGAAUAAUUUUAAGUUAUUUUAUC